UCCCUGCAGCUCCUCUCAGUGCGCAGACUCUCUGCUGUCAGCAGCACCAGAGGACCAGAGAACCGGAGCACCGGAGCACCGGGAGGACUGUGACAGUAUGGCGGCGGGGUGCAGCUGGAAGGAUGCUUCAGUCUCCCGUCAUGAGUCUACCACCGGCAGCACGUAACCGGACCACUAACAGAGGAUUUACUGAGCCAGACUCCGCACCGUGAGCUCAGCAUGGCCCGGCUGGCGGACUACUACCUGGUGGUCGGAUACGACAUCGACAAGCGAGUGGAGGGUGAGGGUCAAGGUCGCAUUCUCCAGCGGUUUCCUGAGAAAGACUGGGAGGACAGCCCGUUCCCACAAGGCAUAGAGCUGUUCUGUCAGCCCAGCGGUUGGCAGCUGGUUCCUGAGCGGCAACCUGCCUCCUUCUUCGUAGCGGUUUUGACUGACAUCAACUCGGAGCGUCACUACUGUGCCUGCUUCACCUUCUGGGAGGGCCUGGACAACCCACAUCUGCAGAAGGCUGAGGCCAGCGAGGCGGACGAGGCGGAUGAGGACCUCGCCCUCGUCCAACCAGCUCAGGUCUUCGCCCCCAAGAGCCUGGUGCUGGUGUCCCGACUGGACUACACCGAGGUGUUCAGGAACUGUCUGGGUCUGAUCUACACCGUCCAUGUAGACGGCCUGACCGUCCCCUUGGAAACGGUGGUCGGAAAUCUCCUCACAUGUGUCAUCCCCAUCGCUGGAGGCUCCCAGAGGACUAUAACGUUAGGUGCUGGGGACCGGCAAGUUAUCCAGACUCCCAUCGAUGACGCGCUCCCCGUCAGCGGCAGCACCGUGGCCCAGCUCUUCAGACAGCUUGGUAUAGUCAACGUGUUGUAUCUGUUCUGCGCCGCCCUGACGGAACACAAGAUCCUGUUCCUGUCCAGCAGCUACCAGAGACUAACGGACGCCUGCCGGGGAUUACUGGCCAUCAUGUUCCCCCUCAAAUACAGCUUCACCUACGUUCCCAUCCUGCCGGGGAAACUCCUAGAGGUCCUGAGCACCCCCACCCCCUUCAUCAUCGGCGUCAAUUCAUUCUUUCGUUCGGAGACGCAAGAAUUGUUGGACGUGAUCAUCGCUGACCUGGACGGCGGCACGGUGACCAUCCCCGAGUGUGUCCACAUCUCCCUGCUGCCUGAGCCGCUCCUCCAGCAGAUCCAGACCGCGCUCUCCAUGGUUUUGGAUCCAGAGCUGGAGAUGGCUGAUCGGGCCUUUCCCCCGCUCUCCACCCAACCCGCCGCACUCAAGAUCCAGGAUAAGGAGAUCCGGGGAAUCUUCCUGUGGCUGUUCGCUCGGCUCUUCUAUGGCUAUCGCUGGUGUUUACACAUCAUCCGCAUUCACCCAGAACCAGUGAUCCGCUUCCACAAGGCUGCCUUCCUCGGUCAGAGGUCGCUGACGGAGGAAGACUUCCUCAUGAAGGUGUUGGACGGCAUGGCGUUCGCAGGCUUCGUGUCAGAGAGGGGGCCUCCUUACAGAGCCACCGACCUGUUUGAUGACCUGGUGGCCAAUCACGGGGAGCGGAUACGACAAGAGGAGACCUGUCCACACAAAGUCAUGAACCACGUCAAGGAGCUGGCUGAGCAGCUCUUCAAAAACGAGAAUCCUUACCCCGCCGUGGCGAUGCACAAAGUCCAGCGGCCGUCGGAGAACAGCCAGAACAGUGCACAGAAUCAGACGCCGUUCCCCGCGCUGGACGACGUGGCGGUGCAGCUCUUCAUCGACCACGCUGCCGCCAAGCUCAAAACGGCACCUCCCGUGGUCAAGGCGGAGGUCAAGCGCAUGGUGCCAUCUGGGCCCCCACUGGGAGACACCGUGGACAGGAACGGCCACGUGAUGGCCAACAGCGCUCGCAGGCUGGAGGUGGUCAGGAACUGCAUCACAUACAUCUUUGAGAACAAGAUGCUGGAGGCCAAGAAGUUAAUGCCGGCUGUACUGCGGGCGUUGAAGGGUCGGGCAGCCCGGAUUUGUUUGACCCAGGAGCUCAAUCAGCACGUCCUCCAGAACCGAGCGGUGCUGGAUGACCAGCAGUUUGACUACAUUGUCCGAAUGAUGAACUGCACCUUACAGGACUGCUCGCAUAUAGAUGAACACGGUAUUGCAGCUGCCCUCCUUCCACUGGUCACGGCCUUCUGCAGAAAAAUGGGCGCAGGCAUCACUCAGUUUGCCUACAGCUGCGUACAGGAGCACAUGGUGUGGACCACCAUGCAGUUCUGGGAGGCCAUGUUCUACAGCGACGUUCAGAACCACAUCAGAGCUCUGUACCUGGAGACGGAGGAGGGGGAGCAGCACAACAACUAUGAGCAGCACGACGGGGCAGGCGACGGGAGGGAGAUCAGCGCCCUGGAGCUGGCGUCCGAGCAGAGCCGGCUGUGGCCGACGCUCAGCAAGGAGUCGCAGACGGAGCGCGUGCAGAAGGAGGAGAGCACGGUGUUCAGCCAGGCAAUCCACUACGCCAACAGGAUGAGCUACUUGCUGCUGCCGCUGGACACCAGCAAGAACCGUCUGCUGAGGAGCUCCGGCCUCGGAGACGUGGAGAGCGUCAGCAACAGCUACGUCACUAACAGUAUUGCAGGCAGCAUGGCGGAGAGCUACGACACAGAGAGCGGCUUCGAAGACGCAGAGAGCUCCGACGUGGCGAACUCCGUGGUGCGCUUCAUCAACCGCUUCGUAGACAAAGUGUGUAAUGAGAGCGGCGUCACCAACGAGCACCUGAAGGCUCUCCACACCAUGAUACCAGAUAUCGUUCAGAUGCACAUCGAGACGUUAGACGCAGUCCACAGGGAGAGUAAGAGACUGCCUCCGAUCCAAAAGCCCAAGCUGCUGAGGCCGACGCUGCUGCCCGGUGAGGAGCUGGUGAUGGACGGCAUGCGGGUCCACCUGAUCCCCGACGGCCGCGAGGAGGCCACGGGGCUGAUGGGAGGUCCGCCUCUGCUCCCCGCCGAGGGCGCCAUCUUCCUCACCACCUACCGACUCAUCUUCAAGGGCACGCCCAACGACCCGCUGGUGGGUGAGCAGGUGGUGACUCGCUCGUUCCCCAUCGCCUCUCUGACCAAGGAGAAGAGGAUCUCAGUCACUAUACCCAUGGACCAGUUUGUCCAGGAGGGGCUCCAGCUACGCUCCUGCACCUUCCAGCUGAUGAAGAUUGCGUUCGACGAGGAGGUGGCGUCAGACCUGGCCGAGGUCUUCAGGAAGCACAUGCACAAGCUGCGCUAUCCUCAGCACGUCCAGGGCACCUUCGCCUUCACCGUGGGUCAGUGUGGGAAGAUGGUGGUGGAGCACAAGACCAAGGACAAGAACCAGUCGCUCAAGACGCUUUCCAAAAACCUGGUGAAGACUGCCAAGAGGACCAUCGGCCGGCAGUACGUGACCAGGAAGAAGUAUUCCCCUCCCACCUGGGAGAACCGGAGCAGCUUCCAGUCGGAGCUGGAUGAGGAUGAAAUCUCAGUUUCAGAGGAAGUAGAGCAGAGUUCCCUCACCCUCUCCUCCACCAUGCGCUCAUCCGACAGACAGACCAUGAGCAACGUCGUGGAGCGCGCCUGUUGCCGCGACUACCAGCGCCUGGGCCUGGGCACGCUCAGCAACAGCCUGACGCGCUCUAAAAACGAGCCCUUCAGGAUUUCCACCGUCAACCGCAUGUACACCGUCUGCAGGAGCUACCCCGGCCUGCUGAUUGUACCUCAGAGCAUCCCGGACACGACUAUCCAGAGAAUCUGCCGCUGCUACCGGCAGAAUCGCUUCCCCGUGGUUUGCUGGAGGAAUUCACGAACCAAGGCCGUCCUGCUGCGAUCUGCAGGCCUCCACGCGAAGGGGGUGGUGGGCUUCUUCAAGUCCCCCAACGCCCCGGCUUCAGUGCCCUCCCAGGCCGACUCCACCAGUCUGGAGCAGGAGAAGUACCUGCAGGCCAUCAUCAGCUCCAUGCCUUCUUACAGCGAGAGCAGCGGCAGGAACACACUCAGCGGCUUCACCUCCACGCAUAUGAGCACCUCCGACUCCUCAGACAAGUUGAGGCAGCCCAAGAUCGGCGCUCUGAUGAAGCAGGUGAUGGGCACCAAGGAGGACGUUCCUGGAACCUUCAGCAGAGGAGCUCUGGGUCAAAGGGCGAAAGUCAUCUCCCUCUCUCAGCCCAAAGUGUCUGGCAAGGCCAGGAACACCCCUAGAGGUAAAUGGGGGAGUAUCCGGGGCAGCGGGCGUCUAAGUGCCUACAACCCAGAUGUGGGGACGCGCCUGGCGAAAGAUUCUCCGCAGUCCAAUGGGGGGCCGAGCGAGGCGCUGUUUCUCCGCCAGCAGAAGGCCUACCUCUACAUCAUCGGAGACAAGGCCCAGCUCAAGGGAGGGAAGCAGGAUUCGUUCCAGCAGUGGGAGGUGGUUCCCAUCGAGGUGUGCGACGUGCGGCAGGUGAAGAACAGCUUCAAGAAGCUGAUGAAGGCCUGCGUGCCGAGCACCUCCACCACGGACCCCAACAUGAGCUUCCUGCGCUGCCUGGAGGACUCUGAGUGGAUGGCUCUGCUCCACAGGGUGCUGCAGGUGUCCGUGCUGGUGGUGGAGCUCCUGGAUACGGGCUCAUCAGUCAUGGUCAGCCUGGAGGACGGCUGGGACGUCACCACGCAGGUGGUGUCCCUGGUGCAGCUGCUGUCCGAUCCGUACUACCGAACCUUCGAUGGCUUCCGGCUGCUGGUGGAGAAGGAGUGGCUGUCGUUCGGCCACCGAUUCAGCCACCGCGGAGCGCAGACGCUGGGCAGCCAGAGCAGCGGCUUCACCCCUGUCUUCCUGCAGUUCCUCGACUGCGUCCACCAGAUCCACCUCCAGUUCCCCAUGGAGUUUGAGUUCAGUCAGUACUACCUGAAGUUCUUGGCCUACCACUAUGUGUCCAACCGCUUCCGAACCUUCCUGCUCGACUCCGACUACGAACGCAUCGAGCUGGGAGUGCUGUACGAGGAGAAAGGAGAGAGGAAAAGCCCUCAGGUGUGUAAGUCUGUGUGGGACUACAUCGACAGACUGAACAAGAAAACACCCGUCUUCUACAACUACAUGUUCUCUCCUGAAGACGAGGAGGUUCUGCGGCCGUACACCUUCAACUCCAACCUGAAGGUGUGGGACUUCUACAUGGAGGAGACCCUGUCGGAGGGUCCGUCCUACGACUGGGAGCUGAGAGGCCGGCAGGAGCGCGUGGCGGAGGAGACGCUGGACAAACCCGACAGCGGCCCCAAGUCUCAGCGGCGCAUCGUGUGGCCGUGCUACGACAGCCUGAGCAAGGCGGUACCCGACGCCAUCACCAAGCUGCUGCAGGACCUGCAGAGUCUGGAGGCGGAGCUGGGCCAGACGUCGGAGAAGUGGAAGGACACUUGGGACAAAAUCAAGACCGUGCAGAGAACCGAGGCCAAACUGGAAAGCAAGUCGUUCUCCAGCUCCUUGCUGAUGUCGUCCAACCUGAGCCACCAGCGGCGCUCUCAGGGCGUCUACCUGCAGGAGACCGGCGUGGGAUCCUCCAUCAACCUGGCUAUGGACUGCGAGGCCAGCGCCACCUCCACCCCCGUCGCCGGUCGGCCCAGCACCAGCACGCUCUACAGCCAGUUCCAGAGCACGGAGAGCGAGAACAGGAGUUUUGAAGGCAUCCUGUAUAAGAAAGGGGCGUUGUUGAAACCAUGGAGACCACGGUGGUUUGUGCUGGACAAGACCAAACAUCAGCUGAGAUACUACGAGACCCGGCAGGACAAGGAGUGCAAAGGGAUGAUCGAGCUGGGCGAGGUGGAGUCCAUCAUUCCAGGAACGCCUACCAUGGGAGCGCCGAAGAACAUCGAGGAGAAAGCCUUUUUUGAUCUCAAGACGACCAAACGAGUGUACAACUUCUGUGCCCAGGACAGCCAGAACGCUCAGCUGUGGAUGGACAGCGUCCAGAACUGCCUGUCAGACGCCUAGAGAGGAGGAGGCGGGACUCUUUUAGGGAGCGAUGCAACCCAAGGACGAAUGAGCGGCGGCGGCGGCGCGGCACCUGACGGGACAGACACACCUCCGCCUGGAGGGAGGAGGAGGGAGGAGGGGGGGGGGAGGGGCCUUUCACCACUUAAAGCUCUGUUCUGUUCGCUAGUGUUGAACUAAUAACCUCGCGUCACAACGUUUCAGUGUUUUUGUUAUAAAAAAAAAAUCGGAAAAAGACAAAAAAAAAAAAGAACCACUUUGCUGUCGUCUCACCGAGCAGCUGCAGCUCCCCCACCCCCCCGACAGUCUGACCACUAUGUGCGCUGGAUGUCUGGAUUUUAAAGGCGUCCUGCAGCUCGGACCAGCAUGAAGAUGUUUCCAGACCCUCCACCUGUAAACCCACCUGUACUAACCCUGCUCGACCUUUAACACACCCCGGGGGAGGAAUGACGGAGGAGCUGCAGCCGCGCACGUACAGGACCCGUCAGACUGCUCCGGAAACAGGAUCUAAAAGAUCGACACGCUGACAGCAGAGACGCUCUUCCUUCUCAGUCCUCACAGCUCUCACUGCCUGACGUCGCAGGAAUAUCCAGAAGGAGCUUCACAGGAAGUUGAGCGUGACGCUGCGGCAGCUGCACGGGGAGGAGGAAGGAGCUCCUCAACGGUUCAUGAAGGAUUUCCUUUUCUUUCUUUUUUCCAAAAUCUUCAAAUUUGUACCAGAAAGAGAUCAUCACCGGUCCUCAGCAGGAGACGGAGAUAUUACUGUGAAAGCCAUGAAUCAGUCGCGGAGAUCAAAAACCAGGAGAGCCGGUCGGAGUCCGUCAGGUUCCGUCCUCCAUACAACCAGCUGUAUGGUUAAUGUAUGGUUAUGGUUAAUGAACAGGCAGCCGGCAGGUUGCCCUGGAAGUAGAUCCCUAAGCUAUCUAGCUACAAAAGCUAAUCCAGGAGGCUACUUCCUGUUUACUUUGGUCUGAACUCUUAGACGAGUGUGUGAUUUAAUUCAAGUUGAUUUGGAAAGCUUCAGGAGGCUCACACACUGCUCACCCCAUGAGCUAAGAAAAAUAACCUUCAGCUUUGUGCAUUUUUAUUGCGUACAAUGUAUUUUUAAAUGUUUUAUUUAGCUUAAUAUGUAUGGGAGGAAAAUGGCCACAACUAUGGAAAUAAGACUCAAGUUGAAUAAUAGCAGAAUCUUUCCUUCACGGAUGCUGCAACAUGGAAACGUGUGGAGCUGCUCAGACUCCCUCUUCCUGUUUCAGAUGCGUCAGCGGUCCACUCGUUGAAGCUUGUACAUAGACGAGUCUCCACCCGUUAGAGAGUUCUAGAGGAACAGUACGUUUAGCUGGAAGGUUUCAAACAUCAAGUCACUUUUUUUAUGUCAAUGGUUUAUCAGUCCCCCCCCGACCCCAUGACCUCCACACACACAACCACUCAGACCCACACUUCUUAACCCUGCUAUGUAAAAUAAGGUUCUACUGCUGUCUUUGUUGAACUUAAAAAUUUAAAAAUUGUAGAUUUUUUUUGUGUCUAAUAACUCCUUUUUGUAUAUACUACUCCAGAUUUGUAUGUAACGUUUAUGGUAGUAAUUUAUUUAACUUGUCUCCUCAGUAAGAAAGUUCCUGAAGCACCACUUUAUUUUUAAAUUAGGAAUUCAAUGUGCCAUUUGUUUAUUUCUGUAUUAAUGUGACUAAUGCUUUUUUUUUUUUUUUUUUUGGAAAAAUGUACAAGUAAAUCUUCUUUUUUUUUUUUUGUAUACACGGUUGUCCUUACGUAAUACCAACCAUUAAUGCGAGAGUGGAAACGGUGUGUUAGUGGGAGAGGAUUGGAUUUGACGGUGUUGCUCACCCACAGCGAUGGGAUGUUCUGGAUGGAGGUUACAGUCACAAUAAAUGUCCACACAUGAAGUUCUCCUGGUGCCGGGUUCUGCUGCUCGCUUAAUGGACCUCCUUUAGUGUUCCAUUAAAUAGUCAGCGACGAGAUGUGGCAGCCUAAAUGUGCUGUAUGUCAGCCUCCAUAAUUAACUGAAGAAUAUCGGCAGGUUCAUUUAAAAUGCACGGUGUAGGCAAAAAUAGUUUUAUAUUAAUCACAUAUUUCAAACAUACUAUAUGUAUUUAUUAUGUUUAGUAAGUUUUUGGGAAUAUGGUGGGUUCACAAAUGUUGUUCAGUGCACUCUGGUUGAAAGUUUCAAUCAACCUGUAACACAUUAUCAGUAACUCUGAUAUUUAAAUGGUAAUUUUACACGAAAAAACUUUGAUAUUCACUGAGAAUUAAAUGGUAAAUUUACAUGAAAAAACUUUGAUAUUCUCGGAGAUUUAAGAGGUAAAUUUACAUGAAAAAAAAAAAACUAAUUUACGGGACAAAAACCUCAAAACAAUGUGUUAUUUUCUUCUGAAUAGGCCCAAUUCACAGCAAUGUCUCUUAAAAGACUGGAUGUUUGUGAUUUUGUGAAGUAUAAUUUCAUUAAGUCAUCAACUGCAGGCAUACAACACGACCAAAAAUAUAGAGUUUUUCAAAUUAAUUCGCAUAAAUUUAUGACUUUAAUCUCAGAAAUUCUGAGUUUUUUCUCAGAAUAUCACCCCACUCCGCCCGGCCUGACACACUGUCGUAGGACUGGUUGCCAUCUUGCCACUAAAUAUUUAAUGGUACCCCGUUCCCUGACAGUAGCUGCCUGAUCCAAACUAACGUACACAGCCAACAUCACGACCAAACAUCGUUAAGUUUCAUUUGACCUUGUGGAUCUUAAAAUAAUUCUUCCUCUGAGAGACAGAUGGACCGGAGUGACAGCAGGAGUUGCUGCAGCAGCCAGAACCCGACCUGUGGGAGGACUCGGUGUGUCCUCGUGUUCUGACUGCAGUCUGCAUCCAGUUAGACCCAGCUCAUCUUUACACUCUCUAGUUCACUCAUCUCUCUCUGUGGUAACGCUCUACAGCAGCUAAUAUUAACCACAACAACAUGACAUAAUACUUUUUAUUUAUUUUUCUUCUUUUUUUUUUUUUUUUUUUAUUAGAGAUGACUUUCUGAGCCGGGUUAUGUUGUCAAUCAUGUCAAUAUAGUUUUUAGAAUUCAAAUAAAAACUGUGGGUUUAAAUGUU
This is an RNA transcript of Sebastes umbrosus (honeycomb rockfish), 9028 nucleotides long. It is a transcript of the gene named SET binding factor 1, with no coding region annotated. The record is from RefSeq and is a predicted model, not a curated record. Lineage: Eukaryota; Metazoa; Chordata; Actinopteri; Perciformes; Sebastidae. The transcript has 42 exons.